AUUGAACGCUGGCGGCAUGCCUUACACAUGCAAGUCGAACGGCAGCACGGGUGCUUGCACCUGGUGGCGAGUGGCGAACGGGUGAGUAAUACAUCGGAACAUGUCCUGUAGUGGGGGAUAGCCCGGCGAAAGCCGGAUUAAUACCGCAUACGAUCUACGGAUGAAAGCGGGGGACCUUCGGGCCUCGCGCUAUAGGGUUGGCCGAUGGCUGAUUAGCUAGUUGGUGGGGUAAAGGCCUACCAAGGCGACGAUCAGUAGCUGGUCUGAGAGGACGACCAGCCACACUGGGACUGUGACACGGCCCAGACUCCUACGGGAGGCAGCAGUGGGGAAUUUUGGACAAUGGGCGAAAGCCUGAUCCAGCAAUGCCGCGUGUGUGAAGAAGGCCUUCUGGUUGUAAAGCACUUUUGUCCGGAAAGAAAUCCUUGGCCCUAAUACGGUCGGGGGAUGACGGUACCGGAAGAAUAAGCACCGGCUAACUACGUG
RNAcentral lists this ribosomal RNA (486 nucleotides) under uncultured bacterium. RNAcentral describes it as "partial 16S ribosomal RNA". It matches the Rfam family "Bacterial small subunit ribosomal RNA", at positions 30 to 507 of the family's 1533-position model. The record is from RNAcentral.